CGGUUGAUCCCGCCGGACCUGACUGCUAUCGGAUUGAUACUAAGCCAUGCGAGUCAUUGUAGCAAUACAAGGCAUACGGCUCAGUAACGCGUAGUCAACCUAACCUAUGGACGGGAAUAACCUCGGGAAACUGAGGAUAAUGCCCGAUAGAACACUAUACCUGGAAUGGUUUGUGUUCCAAAUGAUUUAUCGCCAUAGGAUGGGACUGCGGCCUAUCAGUUUGUUGGUGAGGUAAUGGCCCACCAAGACUAUUACAGGUACGGGCUCUGAGAGGAGUAGCCCGGAGAUGGGUACUGAGACACGGACCCAGGCCCUAUGGGGCGCAGCAGGCGAGAAAACUUUGCAAUGUGCGAAAGCACGACAAGGUUAAUCCGAGUGAUUGUGCUAAACGAAUCUUUUGUUAGUCCUAGAAACACUAACGAAUAAGGGGUGGGCAAGUUCUGGUGUCAGCCGCCGCGGUAAAACCAGCACCUCAAGUGGUCAGGAUGAUUAUUGGGCCUAAAGCAUCCGUAGCCGGCUCUGUAAGUUUUCGGUUAAAUCUGUACGCUUAACGUACAGGCUGCCGGGAAUACUGCAGAGCUAGGGAGUGGGAGAGGUAGACGGUACUCGGUAGGAAGUGGUAAAAUGCUUUGAUCUAUCGAUGACCACCUGUGGCGAAGGCGGUCUACCAGAACACGUCCGACGGUGAGGGAUGAAAGCUGGGGGAGCAAACCGGAUUAGAUACCCGGGUAGUCCCAGCUGUAAACUAUGCAAACUCAGUGAUGCAUUGGCUUGUGGCCAAUGCAGUGCUGCAGGGAAGCCGUUAAGUUUGCCGCCUGGGAAGUACGUACGCAAGUAUGAAACUUAAAGGAAUUGGCGGGGGAGCACCACAAGGGGUGAAGCCUGCGGUUCAAUUGGAUUCAACGCCGGG
This 910-nucleotide ribosomal RNA is filed under the name uncultured crenarchaeote. RNAcentral's name for it is "bacterial SSU rRNA". It matches the Rfam family "Archaeal small subunit ribosomal RNA", at positions 5 to 922 of the family's 1478-position model. Lineage: Archaea; Thermoproteati; Thermoproteota. The record is from RNAcentral.